This is a long non-coding RNA of Triticum dicoccoides, 1395 nucleotides long. RefSeq lists it as uncharacterized. The record is from RefSeq and is a predicted model, not a curated record. The transcript is spliced from 3 exons. Lineage: Eukaryota; Viridiplantae; Streptophyta; Magnoliopsida; Poales; Poaceae.
CUUGCCAUCUGUCCUCAAUAGUGAUGCAACAUUAUCUGUAUGCUAUUUAUCCAUGUGAUGCAACAUUUUAGUAAACUUUUUAAACUGUUUGUCAAAUUUAAAAUUACGCUCCCUUGUGAAAUUUAUUGACAGGAUCUAUGCUAUAAGGACCUGGAGCAUCUAUUCUGAAAUCAUAGCUACAAGUUGUUGCUGUUGAUGGUGCCAUGGUGGUGCACAAUGUUUUUGGACUUCUCUGAGCUAAAGGUUCAUUCAAGAUUAACCAAUGAUUCAUGUUCGCAUAUUCAGAGGAGACAUACCCAGGUCAAGCUUGCAUGGUCUCUGUUUGUUGUGGCUGCUGACAUGGUCGACGCUGAACUAGAAUUAACCCUGGUUCCAGCUUAUUUGUAGUAUUAUUAUUAUAGCAUGUCCUAAUAUCUACCAUUAAACUGGCAACACCAUUGAACUGUUGCUUGCCUACCUAGUGCCAGCGCCAACGCCAUUUCCAUGUCCACUAUUUAUUAUCUGGUAUAUGACGAUGAGCAGAGUGAAGCCUAGUAUUGCUGUUGCACAAAUAGAUUGCUUGCCACUUUGCUACCUGAAACAGAGUCUCGAUUCCAUUCAGACGCUUUUCUGACUCUUUAUUUAUUAGGGGCCCGUGUAAGAACAAAAAAAUAAAGCUCCAAUUAAGUAUGGUAUUUUGUUUUUGUUUCAUGCUCUUUGUAGCUGACGGGUUGGGCUGUGCUUGGAUGGGCCAUGUUGUAGCUUACAGACAGUCUGCGUACUAACUCAGCCUCCGUAUUACAAGUUCAAAAGAAUUGCCGCGUAGUUCACAAACCUGGGACUAAACAUUUCAUUAUUUUUGCUCUUGACGACUUUUACUUGGACUUUCAGUUUCAAUAAGCCACAUCCUUGUAUAAAACUUAACACUGUCAUGCACCUGUUUACGCGUAUGCCUAUGAUAGGGUUAGGACCUGCCGCACCUUUAGAAUAAAUACAUCUGAGAUGAUAAUAUUUCUGUUAAAGUGUUAACACUGAUAUUUCUGAGCUAUCUUCAAUAGUGAGGUGGUCCCCUCCUUGCUCGUCGAGAUCGCCCUCAUCCUCCGUGUCGCCAACGAGGCCGAGGCCAGCAACCCACGAGUCGCCUACCUAUGUACCAGAGGCUGGCCAGAUACUCCAUUGACAUCUCUAGCUCCCACAUGUCGCCCCUGGGCUGGAGCGCCCUCGUGGGCGAUCGGCAUCCUCCUGGUGGCGCUGCUCCUCACAAGUGUUAAGUUGGAUUACCGCCUCAUGUUGAUGGCAUUGUUUCUUUUUGGUCUAAUGUCGCUUAGGUUGCUGCUGCUGUGAUGGAAGCGCACCACAACUUUAGUUGAUGUGUAUCUUUUUUUGCUUGUUUUAGUUGAGGUUGGACGUGCAGAC